GACGAACGCUGGCGGCGUGCUUAACACAUGCAAGUCGAACGGUAAGGCCCUGCUUUUGUGGGGUGCUCGAGUGGCGAACGGGUGAGUAACACGUGAGUAACCUGCCCUUGACUUUGGGAUAACUUCAGGAAACUGGGGCUAAUACCGGAUAGGAGCUCCUGCUGCAUGGUGGGGGUUGGAAAGUUUCGGCGGUUGGGGAUGGACUCGCGGCUUAUCAGCUUGUUGGUGGGGUAGUGGCUUACCAAGGCUUUGACGGGUAGCCGGCCUGAGAGGGUGACCGGCCACAUUGGGACUGAGAUACGGCCCAGACUCCUACGGGAGGCAGCAGUGGGGAAUAGUGCACAAUGGGCGGAAGCCUGAUGCAGCAACGCCGCGUGCGGGAUGACGGCCGUCGGGUUGUAAACCGCUUUCGCCUGUGACGAAGCGUGAGUGACGGUAAUGGGUAAAGAAGCAACGGCUAACUACGUG
This 468-nucleotide ribosomal RNA is filed under the name uncultured bacterium. Its description in RNAcentral is "partial 16S ribosomal RNA". It matches the Rfam family "Bacterial small subunit ribosomal RNA", at positions 28 to 507 of the family's 1533-position model. The record is from RNAcentral.